RNAcentral lists this ribosomal RNA (496 nucleotides) under uncultured bacterium. Its description in RNAcentral is "partial 16S ribosomal RNA". It matches the Rfam family "Bacterial small subunit ribosomal RNA", at positions 28 to 506 of the family's 1533-position model. The record is from RNAcentral.
GAUGAACGCUGGCGGCGUGCCUAAUACAUGCAAGUCGAGCGAACGGACGAGAAGCUUGCUUCUCUGAUGUUAGCGGCGGACGGGUGAGUAACACGUGGAUAACCUACCUAUAAGACUGGGAUAACUUCGGGAAACCGGAGCUAAUACCGGAUAAUAUUUUGAACCGCAUGGUUCAAAAGUGAAAGACGGUCUUGCUGUCACUUAUAGAUGGAUCCGCGCUGCAUUAGCUAGUUGGUAAGGUAACGGCUUACCAAGGCAACGAUGCAUAGCCGACCUGAGAGGGUGAUCGGCCACACUGGAACUGAGACACGGUCCAGACUCCUUCGGGAGGCAGCAGUAGGGAAUCUUCCGCAAUGGGCGAAAGCCUGACGGAGCAACGCCGCGUGAGUGAUGAAGGUCUUCGGAUCGUAAAACUCUGUUAUUAGGGAAGAACAUAUGUGUAAGUAACUGUGCACAUCUUGACGGUACCUAAUCAGAAAGCCACGGCUAACUACGU